This 199-nucleotide long non-coding RNA is filed under the name Elaeis guineensis (African oil palm). RNAcentral describes it as "long non-coding RNA (EGUI_LNC046793)". Lineage: Eukaryota; Viridiplantae; Streptophyta; Magnoliopsida; Arecales; Arecaceae. The record is from RNAcentral.
AUGGUAUGAUUGCUCGUAGUGAGACUACUAGAGUUUGACUGACACAUAAAUAUGAUCUCAAUCAGAUCUUGUAGUAGAUGUUGGUGAUAAUUGGUCCACUAUAGAAGUAGGAUAUGCAUCUAGAUGGAAUCUAUCGAUUUUGAUAGAGAGGAGUAGUCCUAUGAAAUUUGAGAUGCUAAGUCCGAGAGUCUAUGGCCAC